GAAGCAAGUAUGAAAGACGGUUGCGAGUCCAUUGGACUCGAGGAAAGUCCGAGCUCCAUAGGGCAGGAUGCCAGAUAACGUCUGGCGAGGGUGACCUUAGGGAAAGUGCCAUAGAAAAGGAAACCGCCACGUCAGUGGUAAGGGUGGAAAGGUGAGGUAAGAGCUCACCAGCAGUCUGGUAACAGGCUGGCUCGGUAAACCCCAUCCGGAGCAAGCCCGAAUAGGGAANNNNNNNNNNAACGGUGGUCCCGCCUACCUUCCGGGUUGUGUCGCUCGAGCGUGCAGGCGACUGUACGCCUAGAAAGAUAAUCGUCACCGUGCAAGCGGAACAGAACUCGGCUUAAUGAUUGCUUGCUUCCAUA
Molecule: RNase P RNA, 362 nt
Filed under: Isoptericola variabilis
Lineage: Bacteria; Bacillati; Actinomycetota; Actinomycetes; Micrococcales; Promicromonosporaceae
Description: RNase P RNA component class A
Rfam family: Bacterial RNase P class A
About the family: Ribonuclease P (RNase P) is a ubiquitous endoribonuclease, found in archaea, bacteria and eukarya as well as chloroplasts and mitochondria. Its best characterised activity is the generation of mature 5'-ends of tRNAs by cleaving the 5'-leader elements of precursor-tRNAs.
Source: RNAcentral